Molecule: ribosomal RNA, 272 nt
Filed under: Vibrio vulnificus
Lineage: Bacteria; Pseudomonadati; Pseudomonadota; Gammaproteobacteria; Vibrionales; Vibrionaceae
Description: partial 23S ribosomal RNA
Rfam family: Bacterial large subunit ribosomal RNA
Source: RNAcentral
UAGUACGAGAGGACCGGAGUGGACGAACCUCUGGUGUUCGGGUUGUGUCGCCAGACGCAUUGCCCGGUAGCUAAGUUCGGAAUCGAUAACCGCUGAAAGCAUCUAAGCGGGAAGCGAGCCCUGAGAUGAGUCUUCCCUGAUACUUUAAGUAUCCUAAAGGGUUGUUCGAGACUAGAACGUUGAUAGGCAGGGUGUGUAAGCGCUGUGAGGCGUUGAGCUAACCUGUACUAAUUGCCCGUGAGGCUUAACCAUACAACACCCAAAGGGUUUUG